This 491-nucleotide ribosomal RNA is filed under the name uncultured Corynebacterium sp. Its description in RNAcentral is "bacterial SSU rRNA". It matches the Rfam family "Bacterial small subunit ribosomal RNA", at positions 1 to 507 of the family's 1533-position model. Lineage: Bacteria; Bacillati; Actinomycetota; Actinomycetes; Mycobacteriales; Corynebacteriaceae. The record is from RNAcentral.
UAGAGUUUCGAUCCUGGCGUACAGGACGACGGACUGGCGGCGUGCUUAACACAUGCAAGUCGAACGGAAAGGCUCUUGCUUGCAAGGGGUGCUCGAGUGGCGAACGGGUGAGUAACACGUGGGUGAUCUGCCUUGUACUCUGGGAUAAGCUUGGGAAACUGGGUCUAAUACCGGAUAGGAACUGCCUUUAGUGUGGUGGUUGGAAAGUUUUUCGGUGCAAGAUGAGCUCGCGGCCUAUCAGCUUGUUGGUGGGGUAAUGGCCUACCAAGGCGUCGACGGGUAGCCGGCCUGAGAGGGUGUACGGCCACAUUGGGACUGAGAUACGGCCCAGACUCCUACGGGAGGCAGCAGUGGGGAAUAUUGCACAAUGGGCGGAAGCCUGAUGCAGCGACGCCGCGUGGGGGAUGACGGCCUUCGGGUUGUAAACUCCUUUCGACAGGGACGAAGCGCAAGUGGCGGUACCUGUAUAAGAAGCACCGGCUAACUACGUG